Molecule: long non-coding RNA, 3075 nt
Organism: Ornithorhynchus anatinus (platypus)
Lineage: Eukaryota; Metazoa; Chordata; Mammalia; Monotremata; Ornithorhynchidae
Exons: 3
Source: RefSeq, a predicted model, not a curated record
AAACGGGCACUCCUUGUUCCGAUUCGUCGGAGCCGGGAAUGUCCCCACUUCUUGCAAGAACCGUAAUAAAACUCUUUUGAUUGUUACCUUGAGACGACUCCGAGCAUUUAUUUUGAAUAAGGGUCUUGGUAUCCCACACAGUUUUGGGGGCUCGUCCAGGAUCGAUUUCUCUUUGGGAGGACGGUCUGAACCCCCGCUGAGAGGCAGGCGACCCCCGCUGAGAGGCAGGCCAUACCCGGGAAUUUUACUCCUGGGAGCCUUUGAUAAGGAGAGGUCAGGGACCUCCACUCUCUUCGAGAAGGUAACCCGAAGCGGAGGAACUCGGUAGCAAUCAAAAGCAUGGAGGCAGUGAAUUGAGAGAAGACUGGCCGGCAGACGGGAGAACAGUCAGGUAACUUAUGCACGUAUAACCUGAAGGAACAACAUAAAGCUACCCAGCUGGGUGCCCAAAGAAGGGAAGAUGGUCAUUGGUUUCUCCCGGAUGGUCGAGAGGUACUAACCAAGGCAGGUACCAACCCGGAGAUUGGGUCCUGAUAAAGACUUGGAAGGAGAAGCUGACGCCCAGCUGGGAGGGACCCUUCCAGAUCCUUCUGACAUUUGACACCGCUGUCCAGACUCAGGAGCAGGGGUGGACCCAUCACACUCGCACCAAGGGACCUGUGGACGCUCUGGAGGCCUGGACCGCAGUUCCAGAUCCGGACAACGAACUAAGACUGCACCUCAGGAGAACGUAAGAUCUCCCCGAUGGACAAUUCCUCACCUCUGCUUAGGAGGUGAAGGAUCUUCGGUAUUUCUCUCUCGAUCAUAAUACCAUAGUCACUCUUUUGUUUUGUAAGUAGUGUAAUUGCAUGUAUUUCUAGAGGCCCCCACAUCCAAUCCAUCCAUCCCCGGCUGCACUAAUGGUGUCACUCCUUGGGGUCGACCAAGGUGACCUAGGGGGCCUUAAGAUGAUGGGCUUGCUGGGAGGAUCGAAAGGACCAACUCCGGUAUUGGGGAUGCUCCUGUUGGCCUCCAGCGUUUGCUCAGCCUUGCCCAUCAAUCCCUCUCCCAUUGGAGAAAACUAGUUCCAGCAAUUAAUCCAGAUGGUUGCUGUAACAUUUAAUCUAACUGCUGGAUCUGUGGUGGGCCACAAGGCUCAACCCAAUGGCCUUGGGUAUCCGUUGCCCUCAGCCCCGCUGGGAUUCUGAGUAAUCGGUCACAAACACAUAAUGGGACAGGGUUCUGGAAAGCAGAGGAGGAACACGAAUGGGCCUUAGCGGCAUCCCCGGAGAAUAAAUAUUGCCUAAAUCAGAUGGGAAUAGGGAGAGGGAUGGACAUUAGCCACUGUGAUUAAACUUAUACAAGGAGGACCAUUCUCAAAACCAUCAACUGUUCAUAGUAUAAGGAUCAAUGGAAACAGACCCAUGUCAAGUGCUCUAACGGAACCUGGGUGUCAUGCCUCGAUCACCCUCCUAACGCCCCAGAUGAGUUGGCUAAUAGUUCCUCAUGCCACUAUAACUUAGGAGGAGGGGGCGCAAUUAGGGGCAUGUGCAAAGGGAACUUAGAUCAUGCCAAGUGUAAGGCAGCAAAUCAAACUGGUGAUUGGACAAGGGUCCAUUAUGAAUGGAAGUGGCAAAAUCAGACGUGGAGAGGGGGACUAACUCAGUUUUGGAGUCUUCAAAACAAAACAGGGGCAAGUUGUGUAGGACAGUGUGAGUGGAAGGGCAAACAAAAACUUUGGAAGUACCAGUACGAUCACAACUACGGAGCGGGACCUUUGGGGCUAGUGGAUCAGCAAUAUUAUCCUAAUAUACGAGACAACGAAAAUUGAACUCGUAUAUUUAAGGAAAAACAGCUGGCCCUAAAGGGACACUAUUGGAUUUUUGGAAAGACAGCAUACACCCAUCUUCCUCUAAAUUGGACUAGGGUUUGUUAUAUAGGAUUAAUUCGGCCCAAAUUCUCCUUCCUACCAGAACAAGCUGGAAAGCAUCUGGCCAUUCCAUUAUAUGAAGAAAUGGGGAGGCUGACAAGAAGUAUAGACACCUCCCUUACCCAAGCUGGAAACACCAAUGGGCGGAGAAAGGAGUGGCCCCCUGAAAGAAUAAUUAAAGAAUAUGGGCCUGCGACCUGGGCUCAAGGUGGAAGUUGGAGAUAUAGAACUCCCAUCUACAUGCUGAACAGGUUAAUUAGGCUACAAGCCGUUGUGGAAGUCAUCACCAACCAAACAGCUAAGGCAUUGGACCUGUUAGCAGACCAAGUGACCCAGACACGGGAAGCAGAAAUACAACAUAGAUUAGUGGAAGUAGGAGGAGUCUGUGGGAAACUUAACCUUACCAAUUGUUGCAUGAAAAUCGACGAUAAUGGAAGACUAGUCAAAGAGAUAACACAAGACAUCAGGAAGAUAGCUUACGUCCCUGUUCAAACAUGGAGCUCCCCCUAUAAUAGUUCAUGGUGGGCAUGGUUUGGAGGUAGUUGGUGGAAGUAGGUUCUAUGGUUUGGUCUGAUUGCUCUCAGUGGAAUUGUCCUCCUACCCAUUUGCUGAUUACAGGGAUCGUACAAAGUUCCUUAUCCAGAACGGUCAAGACAGAAGGAAAUGUUCAAAUGAUGAUCAUGAAAAGCCAGGGAUGGCUCCCAAUAGAACGGGUUGACCCUGACAGGGAUGAUGUCGACGUCCAGUGCUCGGUGGCUUUGAGAAAAUUUGAACACAAGUAACUUGUGAGGAACCCUCAAGGAUUUCCAAAUAUAUGAGGAGGGAUUGAGUGGGAUAAAAUGGCUGACCAUAGUGUUGAGGUAUCCUCAGUUAGCUGAAAAUGGUGAAAUACUAGACUAAGGUUACAUCCCCCCAACCCCCCACCGAGACCACCUGACCAUUGGAAACACAAACUAGGCAAAAAUUCCCUAAUAAGGAAAGGAAUUCCGCCCAACCAAUGAAAACAAAAACCAACAGAAGAUGGGGGGGGGUUCUUUGUCUUUUCUCUAUUUAGCUAGCUGCUCUGUUUCUGUAAAAUGGGCACUCCUUGUUCCGACUCGUCGGAGCCGAGACUGUCCCCGCUUCUUGCAAGAACCAUAAUAAAACUCUUUUGAUUGUUACCUUGA